AAGGAAAGCAAAGCUGAGGAGAAAAUCCAUUGAUCCCUGGAGGACCCUCACGUGGCAUUGGUACUUUGGAUCACAAGACUGCCCCACGGGCAGACCCCCCAACUCUGAGCCAGACCCCAUGUCUUGUAUAGAUUACGAGUACACAGAAGGUGCAUUUACUGAGGCUGUGCUUCUGUUUUGGGUUUACAAAUGUCAUCAAAAUGGAAGACCCAGCUGAAGUUAAUUUGUUGGAUGCCUUUUUCUCUCAAUUCACUGGAAAAAAAAAAUGUUUAACUUUUUAGCUUCCAAGUUUUAAUUUCUAAAACAGGUUUCUUGUGGUAUUUUGCAACGAUUUUAUCAUCAAGCCUGGUGAUAAAUUGUUUUUAAAGGGUAAUGAUGUAUUAAUGUACCUUUGAAUUUACGAUUCUCAGUAGGAAACUAACCCAAGACCUAAAUGUUUUCUUUUCUAGAGAAUAAAAAAGUUAAGUACAUGUUUC
Molecule: long non-coding RNA, 476 nt
Organism: Homo sapiens (human)
Lineage: Eukaryota; Metazoa; Chordata; Mammalia; Primates; Hominidae
Source: Ensembl